This 1397-nucleotide long non-coding RNA is filed under the name Salmo salar (Atlantic salmon). Its description in RNAcentral is "lncRNA (ENSSSAG00000114719.1)". The record is from RNAcentral. Lineage: Eukaryota; Metazoa; Chordata; Actinopteri; Salmoniformes; Salmonidae.
AUUCACUUUUAUUGACCACGAAAACAUACAAAUGAACAGGAUUCAGGCUAAACACAAAGCUAUGCAACUACAACUACCCACAAUACCCCAUACAAAACAACCCCUAUACAUAGGACCUUCAAUCAGAGGCAACUAGAAACAGCUGCCUCCAAUUGAAGGUCAAAUCAAUAAACUGAAAAUAGACGUAAACAACCUAGAACUAACAUAGAAUACACUAACCUAGAACCUAAACCUAAAACCCCGGUACACUCUAAACCAACACCCCUCUACAUAAACACAUAGCCCAAAAACCCCGAAACACUCUAAACAAAUACCCCUUCUACAUGAACACAUAAUAUAACAAAGCCCUAAACACUCUAAACAAAUACCCCCUGCCACGUCCUGACCAAGCUACAAUAACAAAUGAUCCAUUUACUGGUCAGGACGUGACAUCCAUUCCAUUCCAUUGUUAGUUUACCUUUAUUUCCUCUGUCACAUUCGUGUGGUUGUUCUGAGGAUCAUAUUAGGCUAGCUUAUUACAAGUUGUGCAAUAAUUUGGGACAUGUAGGAUAUUUGAAUCAUUAUGGAACACAGACCAUAGGUAGCAGUUUAACCCUAGAGCCUGGUGCACGGUUCACGACGACUGGACCGUUGUAAUAACAGUUCCAGUAUUAGUGAGGAUUAUUAGGGUAGAUUUAUAGGACUACUGUUGUAUCUUACUACAGUAUGUAUCUUGUUUGUGUGUGUGUGUGUGUUCAGGGAGAAAAGGCAGUUCCGGGUGUACAUAGUGAUGCCUCUGCUACCCAGAUUUGAAGGCGACAUCUCCUCAGGAGGGGGCCAAGCCAUCAAAGCCAUCAUGUACUUUAAUUACAGGACCAUGUGCCGGGGAGAUCACAUCGAGAGACUGAAAUGUGCUCAGCCAACAUCAACGACAGAAGCAUGCUGGGUAAGCGCGACAGUGAGAUGGCGGUGGUGGUGGAGGACUCGGACAUGGUAAUGGCUGUGAUGGACGGAGAGAGCUACCAGGUUGGGAGGUUUGCCUUGUCACUCAGAGAAGAGUGUUUCAGGUCAUUCAAAUUAAUAAGAAAAAGUGGGGUAAAUUGAGUUGUUUUAACAUUCAGCAGCACUCCUUCAAAGGAAAUAUAAUUUUCUUUCUAACAAAGACAUAUACAUAUUUCAUGAUGUUGUGUAUCCCUGGAAAUAAUCAGAAUUCAUGUAAACAUUACAGAUUUGAAAACAUAGCUUUUGAAAACAAAGUGGUCUCUUGGCACAACUAACCCCGGCUAUGGAGUAAAUUGUGUCGCGGGACAGGGUAAAUUAAGCCGCUUACACAUUUCUGCACAGAAUUAAAUAUGUGACCGACUGGCUCGAUUCGGUCUUAUGUAGCAAAAUUUGAAAUGGAUAACAGUAGAGACUCA